GUCUCAGUUCGGAUUGGAGUCUGCAACCCGACUCCAUGAAGCUGGAUUCGCUAGUAAUCGCGCAUCAGCCACGGCGCGGUGAAUACGUUCCCGGGCCUUGUACACACCGCCCGUCAAGCCAUGGAAGCCGGGAGUGCCUGAAGUGCGUGAGCGCAAGCAGCGCCCUAAGGUAAAACCGGUGACUGGGGCUAAGUCGUAACAAGGUAUC
Molecule: ribosomal RNA, 208 nt
Filed under: uncultured bacterium
Lineage: Bacteria
Description: partial 16S ribosomal RNA
Rfam family: Bacterial small subunit ribosomal RNA
Source: RNAcentral